Molecule: long non-coding RNA, 1540 nt
Organism: Conger conger (European conger)
Lineage: Eukaryota; Metazoa; Chordata; Actinopteri; Anguilliformes; Congridae
Exons: 3
Source: RefSeq, a predicted model, not a curated record
GUUAAUGACCUGAAGGCAGUUGGGACCACAGUCACGAAGAGAACCAUCAGUAACACACUACACCGUGAAGGAUUAAAAUCCUGCUGCGCUCGCAAGGUUCCUCUGCUGAAGAAGGCACAUGUACAGGCCCGUCUGAAGUUUGCCAAAGAACACCUGGAUGAUCCAGAGGAGGCUUGAAGAAGUGUUUCAGCCCGUAUCUCUGCUUGCCUGAGGGACAUCCAGAGCUGGAUGGACAACCACCAUCUAAAGCUCAACCCAGAUGAUCCAAUCAGAGUCUGUGUGUCAUUCUAAGAGCUUCAAGCCCCUCCCCUUCAGGUGAAGACAGGAAGACGGAACCUGUGAUGGACCGCACAGACUACACAAGGCUGGAGCUGAGAUCCAGUUUGAUUAAAAGUGAAGACGCAGAGGAGAGCAUAGAGAGGAAGAAUGGAUGUGGACUGAGCAGGGAGGAAGAACUAAUUCUCUCCAACAUAAAGGAAGAGGAGGAAGAUGGUGUGACCGAUGAAGUGGUUGAAAGGAAUGACUGGGACGCAGAAACUGAGGGGGGUGAACAGGGGGAGGGAGAUGUAAACGACCAGGCCCUCCAGACUGACAGGAUAUCAUAUGUCAAGCAGGAAGAGGAAAGCAUGGUUACUUCCUUUGUAAUCGAAGAGUCUACAGUACCCUCCCUUGGAUCUCCUGCCAUCCCCUCCAGGGCUGGAAAAACAGGUGAAAUAAAUAUGCAUAUUGGUUUAUGUGUAAUAUUUUACUGUAUAGAAGAUGAGAAGACAUUUCUGUUAGUCCAACAAUUGCCUUGCUAUGGUUGUAGUUAUACGUCAUUGGUGAUAUUUCCAGAUGCAGUCAGUGUCAUGUUCUAUCAGAACUGUCAUUUAUUUAUGGUUGACGCCCCUCUAGUGGUCACAGGGGUCAUUGCGUCCUUUGUUUUGUUUUUCUUAAAUUUCAUUUCUCAUGAGAGCGCCCAUACAUGCGGUCACGUUUUAGCUGCACAGUUCUACCUUUCCACUUUGUACAAUCGUGUCUUGGAAAGUAUCGGUUGUAAGUACAUCAUUUGCAGCAGCGUAUUAAUGUGUUUUGUGCACUUUGUGUUCUUUAUGCAAGUGAACGCUGGCCUCCAUUAUGUUUGCCAAGCUAAUGCUAGUUUCCUAUUAGUCCCUGUUCAUUGAUAUGUGCCAUCUUCGCUGUUAUUUUUGGUUAAGGUUAGCUUCGUGAAAGCGCUAGCACCGUUUCAAUUAAUAUGCUCUGGAAAUAUCUCCGAGCAUCACUGAUGUGCAAUGUUACAGUAUAUAUAAACAAAUGAGCACAAGCUACUUACGAAUAUCUACAAGUUAUUUACAGCUAGUUGCAUAUCAUUUAAAAGUGAUAUACUGUGUAGUACUUCAUCGCUUUGUAGCUCAACUGUCAGGUUGUUGUUUUAUAUACAUGUGAUGUCAUAUAGCAUUGUGUAAUUGGUGCUAUCUUUUGUAUCAUUUCAGUUUUACAAAAAAAAACUUGGUUUUGAGAGAAAGGAGAAUAAAAGGCCCUUCAAACUUUACUCCACCUC